GAGUUUGAUCAUGGCUCAGAACGAACGCUGGCGGCAGGCUUAACACAUGCAAGUCGAGCGCGUAGCAAUACGAGCGGCGGACGGGUUAGUAACGCGUGGGAACGUGCCCUUCUCUACGGAAUAGCCCAGGGAAACUUGGAUUAAUACCGUAUACGCCCGCAAGGGGAAAGAUUUAUCGGAGAGGGAUCGGCCCGCGUUGGAUUAGGUAGUUGGUGGGGUAAUGGCCUACCAAGCCGACGAUCCAUAGCUGGUUUGAGAGGAUGAUCAGCAACACUGGGACUGAGACACGGCCCAGACUCCUACGGGAGGCAGCAGUGGGGAAUCUUGGACAAUGGGGGCAACCCUGAUCCAGCCAUGCCGCGUGGACGAUGAAGGCCUUAGGGUUGUAAAGUCCUUUCGCCUGGGAAGAUAAUGACGGUACCAGGUAAAGAAGCCCCGGCUAACUCCGUGCCAGCAGCCGCGGUAAUACGGAGGGGGCUAGCGUUGUUCGGAAUUACUGGGCGUAAAGCGCACGCAGGCGGAUUGUUAAGUCGGGGGUGAAAUCCCGGGGCUCAACCCCGGAACGGCCUUCGAUACUGGCAGUCUGGAGGAUGGAAGAGGCGAGUGGAAUUCCGAGUGUAGAGG
Molecule: ribosomal RNA, 624 nt
Filed under: uncultured Alphaproteobacteria bacterium
Lineage: Bacteria; Pseudomonadati; Pseudomonadota; Alphaproteobacteria
Description: bacterial SSU rRNA
Rfam family: Bacterial small subunit ribosomal RNA
Source: RNAcentral